Molecule: ribosomal RNA, 497 nt
Filed under: uncultured bacterium
Lineage: Bacteria
Description: partial 16S ribosomal RNA
Rfam family: Bacterial small subunit ribosomal RNA
Source: RNAcentral
GACGAACGCUGGCGGCGUGCCUAAUACAUGCAAGUUGAGCGCUGAAGGUUGGUACUUGUACCAACUGGAUGAGCAGCGAACGGGUGAGCAACGCGUGGGGAAUCUGCCUUUGAGCGGGGGACAACAUUUGGAAACGAAUGCUAAUACCGCAUAAAAACUUUAAACACAAGUUUUAAGUUUGAAAGAUGCAAUUGCAUCACUCAAAGAUGAUCCCGCGUUGUAUUAGCUAGUUGGUGAGGUAAAGGCUCACCAAGGCGAUGAUACAUAGCCGACCUGAGAGGGUGAUCGGCCACAUUGGGACUGAGACACGGCCCAAACUCCUACGGGAGGCAGCAGUAGGGAAUCUUCGGCAAUGGACGAAAGUCUGACCGAGCAACGCCGCGUGAGUGAAGAGGGUUUUCGGAUCGUAAAACUCUGUUGGUAGAGAAGAACGUUGGUGAGAGUGGAAAGCUCAUCAAGUGACGGUAACUACCCAGAAAGGGACGGCUAACUACGUG